AAUGGGCGAAAGCCUGAUCCAGCAAUACCGCGUGUGUGAAGAAGGCCUGCGGGUUGUAAAGCACUUUCAGAGAGGAGAAAGCUAUGUAGGUUAAGAGCUAAUGUAGUUGAUGUUACUCUCAGAAGAAGCACCGGCUAACUCUGUGCCAGCAGCCGCGGUAAUACAGAGGGUGCGAGCGUUAAUCGGAAUAAUUGGGCGUAAAGGGUGCGUAGGCGGAUUCUUAAGUCAGAUGUGAAAGCCCCGGGCUCGACCUGGGAAUGGCAUUUGAUACUGGGAGUCUAGAGUAGAGGAGAGGAGAGUGGAAUUUCAGGUGUAGCGGUGAAAUGCGUAGAUAUCUGAAAGAACACCAGUGGCGAAGGCGGCUCUCUGGCCUCAUACUGACGCUGAGGCACGAAAGCGUGGGGAGCAAA
RNAcentral lists this ribosomal RNA (410 nucleotides) under uncultured bacterium. Its description in RNAcentral is "bacterial SSU rRNA". It matches the Rfam family "Bacterial small subunit ribosomal RNA", at positions 370 to 772 of the family's 1533-position model. The record is from RNAcentral.